RNAcentral lists this ribosomal RNA (162 nucleotides) under Deverra denudata subsp. denudata. RNAcentral's name for it is "5.8S ribosomal RNA". It matches the Rfam family "5.8S ribosomal RNA". From Rfam's summary of the family: 5.8S ribosomal RNA (5.8S rRNA) is a component of the large subunit of the eukaryotic ribosome. It is transcribed by RNA polymerase I as part of the 45S precursor that also contains 18S and 28S rRNA. RNAcentral also lists the same sequence under 1 other name. The record is from RNAcentral. Lineage: Eukaryota; Viridiplantae; Streptophyta; Magnoliopsida; Apiales; Apiaceae.
AACGACUCUCGACAACGGAUAUCUCGGCUCUCGCAUCGAUGAAGAACGUAGCGAAAUGCGAUACUUGGUGUGAAUUGCAGAAUCCCGUGAACCAUCGAGUCUUUGAACGCAAGUUGCGCCCGAAGCCAAUAGGCCGAGGGCACGUCUGCUUGGGUGUCACGC